GACGAACGCUGGCGGUGUGCUUAACACAUGCAAGUCGAACGGUAAGGCCCUUUCGGGGGUACACGGGUGGCGACCGGGAGGGUAACACGUGAGUAACCUGCCCUCCUCUCUGGGAUAAGAGUCGGAAACGGUUGCUAUUACUGGAUAUGGACUUGCAAGGCAUCUUGUGGGUUGGAAAGAUUUUUUUGGGUUGGGGAUGGACUCGCGGCCUAUCAGCUUGUUGGUGAGGUAGUGGCUCACCAAGGCGUCGACGGGUAGCCGGCCUGUGAGGGCGACCGGCCACAUUGGGACUGGGAGACGGCCCAAACUACUACGGGAGGCAGCAGUGGGGAAGAUUGGACGAUGGACGCAAGGCUGAGGCAGCAACGCCGCGUGCGGGAUGACGGCCUUGGGGUUGUAAACCGCUUUCAAUCGUGACGAAGCGUUUUUGUGACGGUAGCAGUAGAAGAAGCACAGGCGAAGUACGGG
RNAcentral lists this ribosomal RNA (468 nucleotides) under uncultured bacterium. Its description in RNAcentral is "partial 16S ribosomal RNA". It matches the Rfam family "Bacterial small subunit ribosomal RNA", at positions 28 to 507 of the family's 1533-position model. The record is from RNAcentral.